CCUACGGGUGGCAGCAGUGAGGAAUAUUGGUCAAUGGACGGUAGCCUGAACCAGCCAUGCCGCGUGCAGGAUGACUGCUCUAUGAGUUGUAAACUGCUUUUGUACGGGAAUAAUAGUUCGUAUGUAUAGUGAUUUGCAUGUAUCGUAUGAAUAAGGAUCGGCUAACUCCGUGCCAGCAGCCGCGGUAAUACGGAGGAUUCGAGCGUUAUCCGGAUUUAUUGGGUUUAAAGGGUGCGUAGGCGGUCGGUUAAGUUAGAGGUGAAAUGUCGGGGCUUAAACUUGAGCCUGCCGUUGAUACUGUUCUACUAGAGAGCGGAUGAGGCAGGCGGAAUGAGUAGUGUAGCGGUGAAAUGCGUAGAUAUUACGCAGAACACCGAUUGCGCAGGCAGCUUGCUAAACCGUAUCUGACGCUGAUGCACGAAAGCGUGGGUAGCGAACAGGAUUAGAUACCCGUGUAGUC
Molecule: ribosomal RNA, 460 nt
Filed under: uncultured bacterium
Lineage: Bacteria
Description: partial 16S ribosomal RNA
Rfam family: Bacterial small subunit ribosomal RNA
Source: RNAcentral